Long non-coding RNA from Brassica rapa (field mustard), 3007 nucleotides. RefSeq lists it as uncharacterized. The record is from RefSeq and is a predicted model, not a curated record. NCBI's taxonomy places the organism in Eukaryota, Viridiplantae, Streptophyta, Magnoliopsida, Brassicales, Brassicaceae.
CUAUAUAUUUGGCAAAAAUUACAAGAUAGAAAGAAUUUUUUAUUUAGUAUAAUAGUUAUAUGAAGUGAACAUUAAGUGAUAAUAAAUGUAAUACUUUUUAAUUAUUUUGAUUUAAAAUAUUAUUUUGUUCACAUAAACUAUGCCUUUGAAUUAUGUGUUUGACUACGUAAUUUUUCACCAAUUGGAACUAAGACAAAAGAAAGUUUUGUAGUAAAACAGAUUAAACCAAACUAUUAACCAUAUGCAAAGCUCGGUUAUCUUACAUUUUAGUUUUUUUAUAAUUGCACAAAGUUAAUAUUGAUUAAAUAAUAAAUAAAAAAUCUGUAUUAUUACUUUUAUGGUAUAUUAUAAUUAAUGAGUUGAUGUAUUGUUACGGUAAAUAUAAUUAAUGAUGUGAUGUAUUGUUAAAAUAAUAUAAUUAAUGAAAUUACUAAAAUAACACUAUACUUAUAUUUUUAUACAUUAAUAUUUAUUUUUCAUAAUUCGUAUUUUAUAUUUAGAUAUGCCGUAAUGUAACUAAUUGUAUUCAAAAGACAUAUAUCAAAUCAGAUAAUAUGGUUAUUUUGGUACAAAUAUCCAAACCCGUUUCAAAUACAUUGGUUAUUUAAAUAUUUUUAGGGUCAUAUACAUCAGAACCGAACACAUCCACACUCAAAAGGACUCAACUCAAAACCUACACAUAAAUUUAUAAUAUUCUAGGAGAGAGUAAUUUAAAAAAAAAACAAUAAUAGAAAGGAACAAUUAGUACCUAAGUGGAUAUCUAGUGUUCAUGCAUAACUAAUUUUAUAAACUAAUAAAAAAUAUUUUCUAUGUGUUUUGCUAAAUUAAGUGAAAUAGAAAAAGUUUUUUAUUUAGUAAGUCAAUUAUAUUGAGUGAAAAAAUAGGUGACAAUAAAUGUAAUUCAUUUUUAUUAUUUUGAUUUAAGUUAUGAUUUUAUUCACAAUACAUGUCUUUGAAUUAUUUUUUAGUAAAACAAACUAAACCAAACGUUGAACCUUAUGCAAAACUCAGUUAUGUUACUUUUUUGAUUUUAUAAUUGGCACAAAAUCAAUAUUGAUUAACUACUAAAUACAAAUCUACACUAUUAUUAUUAUGGUAAUAUAAUUAAUGAUGUGAAAUAUUGUUAAGGUAAUAUAAUUAAUAAAUUUGUUAAUAGAGUGAAAUAUGGAAAUACAAUUAAUGUAAUACUGAUAUCCUCGUAUUCAAACAAUUCUCGGUUAUACUACUAUUCAUGUUUCCAAACAUUACUAAAGUGUACUUCAGUUUUAAUAAUAUAGAUGAUGUUAUCCAAAAAUAAAAUUUUGUGUAAAAGUUUUUUUCUUCAACAAGUAGAUAAUACAUAUUAGAAUGAAAAAAUAUUAGACAUCUUGAGAAACUUAAUUUUAAAUAAUUCACCAAAUAUAUAUAAAUAGUUAUAAUCUACCACAAAAAUUUGAAAACCAUUCUCUACGGGAGAAUUUUAAAAUAUCAACCCAUUACUUGGUUGGUGGUAGUCUAUUGACAAUUUUUAGGUGUUUGGUGUGUACUUACAUCAGAUUUUGAUACAAUUUUUUUGGAAAACUAGAAAUUAUCAUCACUUGACCAGUAUACGUUUGGGCUUCGGUCCAAAUAGUUUAUAUAGUGGAUCGUAACAGGUGAUCUGUUCACCUAUUUGCAUUUGUUGGAAUUUAUUCCAAACUCGGAUUAGGCAGUGAGAUAGCCAAUCCAUUCUGUAAUACUAAGUGUGUUCCUGCCAAAGCCAACUUGAUCAGCUGAAAGGGUUUAUAAAAAAAAAAACAUUGAACCAUAUAUAUAUAUAUAUAAUCACAUAUAUAUAUAUAUAUAUAUAUAUAUAUAAUCAAAGAUAUGUGAUACGACUUUUUCAAACCUAUGUGUUACAAAUAAUUUGAAACUCAGCUAGAUGAAUCCGUAUUAUAUUAUAAAUAUAUCUCCAUAUGAGAAGCGAAUUGCCAUAUACAAUGUAAGCACGUACGUUUUUAAAUUAUUACGACAUAGGGGGCCUCCUCUACGUUUUCGACAGCCCAUCUUUGUCUGAGUAGAGUCUUUCGACUGGUUUUCCCGCUACUACCCACAAACGCAGCUUUUGCGUUUGGUAGCGAUUGUCGACGGUUUGCAACAAUCACUCAAAUCGCUCUAAACCGCUUCAAACCGCUCAGAAUCUCAUAAAUUCAAAAGCUGGUUCUAGCUAGCAUUUGCGGUUGCGGAUGGUUGCAGGAAGGUAAAUUUUUUUUCUUUUUAAAAAAAAAUAUAUAUAUACAAAAGUAAAAAUAUUUAAUAGAAAUUUUAAAAUUGAAAUUAUGAAAAUAUUAAAAUAUAUCUAUUAUAUUUUAAUUAAUAUUAUAAAAUUUUAUAAUAAAAACAAUUUCAAUAAAUUUUCAAAAAUUAAAAUUAUCUUUCUAAAUAUAAAUUUUAUAUUUAUUAUAAUUUUAUGAUUUUUGAUAUUUUUAUAAUUAUAUUAAAUAUAUAUAUUGUUAAUUUAUUAUUUGACUGUUACCGCAUUUGGUAAUUAAUCAGUCAUAAAUCACCCGCAAACGCACCAAUUUUUAACCGCAGUACCAGUCGUACAAAUCUCUUAAAACCGCUAAAAAUCGCAACCGUUCGCAUCCACAAACUCCCGCAACCGCUGCGAUUGAACCCGUCAGGUCCAUGGUGUUCAACUUUCAAGGACUGCGAUGGUUUGGAAAUGAUAAUAUUCAUGUUUCUCACGUAGAGAUAAUUUUAGCUAACAUUCCAAAUCAUUAAUAAGUGUAUAAUUAUAAUUAACGAAUCGCUGAAUUGACUGACUAUGUUAUUUAAAGGGGUUUACUUAGCGAGUCACGACAAUUAAGAGGUUUACUUCAGCGCUAAUUGAGGAUCCUUGGAAUGCGCCGGCGUGGCCCUAUCCUUUCAGAGUCAACUCAAGCAUGUCACAUGUUCACAUGUUCACAUGAAGGAACUCUCCUUUGUUUCCCGGGUCAAAAGGUAUGAACUUAUUACUAUUUUAAUUUUCUUGACAGUCAUGUGUUUU